GAUGAACGCUGGCGGCGUGCUUAACACAUGCAAGUCGAACGGUGAAGGCGGAGCUUGCUCUGCUGGAUCAGUGGCGAACGGGUGAGUAACACGUGAGCAAUCUGCCCCUGACUCUGGGAUAAGCGCUGGAAACGGCGUCUAAUACUGGAUACGAGCUGCGAAGGCAUCUUCAGCAGCUGGAAAGAAUUUCGGUCAGGGAUGAGCUCGCGGCCUAUCAGCUUGUUGGUGAGGUAAUGGCUCACCAAGGCGUCGACGGGUAGCCGGCCUGAGAGGGUGACCGGCCACACUGGGACUGAGAAACGGCCCAGACUCCUACGGGAGGCAGCAGUGGGGAAUAUUGCACAAUGGGCGAAAGCCUGAUGCAGCAACGCCGCGUGAGGGACGACGGCCCUCGGGUUGUAAACCUCUUUUAGCAGGGAAGAAGCGAAAGUGACGGUACCUGCAGAAAAAGCGCCGGCUAACUACGUG
RNAcentral lists this ribosomal RNA (468 nucleotides) under uncultured bacterium. RNAcentral's name for it is "partial 16S ribosomal RNA". It matches the Rfam family "Bacterial small subunit ribosomal RNA", at positions 28 to 507 of the family's 1533-position model. The record is from RNAcentral.